CCUACGGGAGGCAGCAGUGAGGAAUAUUGGUCAAUGGACGAGAGUCUGAACCAGCCAAGUAGCGUGAAGGAUGACUGCCCUAUGGGUUGUAAACUUCUUUUAUCAAGGAAUAAAACGAGGCACGUGUGCCUUUUUGCAUGUACUUUAUGAAUAAGGAUCGGCUAACUCCGUGCCAGCAGCCGCGGUAAUACGGAGGAUCCGAGCGGUAUUCGGAUUUAUUGGGUUUAAAGGGAGCGUAGAGGGGUUGUUAAGUCAGGUGGGAAAGUUUGCGGCUUAAACGUAAAAGUGCAAUUGAUACUGGCAGCCUUGAGUACAGGUGAGGUAGGCGGAAUUCGUGGUGUAGCGGUGAAAUGCUUAGAUAUCACGAAGAACCCCGAUUGCGAAGGCAGCUUACUAAACUGUGACUGACAUUGAUGCUCGAAAGUGUGGGUAUCAAACAGGAUUAGAUACCCCAGUAGUC
Molecule: ribosomal RNA, 460 nt
Filed under: uncultured bacterium
Lineage: Bacteria
Description: partial 16S ribosomal RNA
Rfam family: Bacterial small subunit ribosomal RNA
Source: RNAcentral